This 253-nucleotide ribosomal RNA is filed under the name uncultured bacterium. Its description in RNAcentral is "partial 16S ribosomal RNA". It matches the Rfam family "Bacterial small subunit ribosomal RNA", at positions 524 to 776 of the family's 1533-position model. The record is from RNAcentral.
UACGUAGGGUGCAAGCGUUGUCCGGAAUUAUUGGGCGUAAAGAGCUUGUAGGCGGUUUGUCGCGUCUGCUGUGAAAUUUCGGGGCUCAACCCCGAACUUGCAGUGGGUACGGGCAGACUAGAGUGUGGUAGGGGAGACUGGAAUUCCUGGUGUAGCGGUGAAAUGCGCAGAUAUCAGGAAGAACACCUAUGGCGAAGGCAGCACUCUGGGACGGUACUGACGCUGAGACGCGAAAGCGUGGGGAGCGAACAGG